This 4421-nucleotide long non-coding RNA is filed under the name Gallus gallus (chicken). Its description in RNAcentral is "lncRNA (ENSGALG00010029819.1)". Lineage: Eukaryota; Metazoa; Chordata; Aves; Galliformes; Phasianidae. The record is from RNAcentral.
UCAUUUCCCUUGUGUAGGAACUAAGCAGAAGUAGCAGUACUUAUGCUUAAUGUUUUGAAGAGACUUGGACUCAGUUUUCUUACCUGUAAGUAGGUCAAUAAGUAUAUUAAAGGCUCCUGACUGAAAUGGUUUAUUAUUGCUCUUUCAAUUUGAAUGAAGGCAAGAGGUCAAAAAGUGGAUUCUCGCUGGGGAUGCCUGCCUACCCGAGGCCUUCCAAGGUUUCUCUGCCGCACUGCAAGGUGAGAGGACAUCAACUUGGAGGUGCAUCUCCUCAGGCUCUGGAAACACAUAUCUCCUGCUGCCGGAGCACUGCAUGUCCAUGUACAGCUUCUGGAGGACUCUGCUAAGCUUACUUUCAUGUUGGAGCUCUGUUUGACAAAGAGGAGAAAAAGUCCCUGAAGACUGCAAGCCCUGGUUGCUGCAGCAGCCUCUGCUUCCUUCAGAAGGCUGCCUCUGCCCUACCUGGGGAAGCGCUCCUGCUGUCUGAGGUGCCGGAUGCGGGUGGAGAUGGGGUAAGCACAAGUAAAUCUGUAGUGAGCUUUGGAAAAUUUAUAGUUGAGCUAAUUUGGGCCAAGUUUAGUAGCUCGAUUUCUGAGUUUUAUUUAUUUGUUCAUGUAAAUUCUACUUGCAGCUACCUUUCUGCUCAAACCUUUGAAGUGUCAGGCAUUUCAAUCCCUCUGCUGCUGGAGAAAAUGCAAGAUAUUGGUUAUGUGUACUGGAUGGUGAAUGUUGGUGACAAAUCUGCAUUGGUGAAUGGUUUUGGUUUGCUGUCAUGCUGGGUGCCAUAUAAACGUUCCUUUGGGAACUGACACAGGCUCCCUGUGUAGCUGAGAUACCUUAUUUGCCCCUAUUGACGUUCUCUCUUCACAAAUGCUGUGAUGGUGGCAUAGCCUGAAGUUUGCCUGUUUUCUCAGCUCCUAAAAACUCCUCACUGUGGGGCUGCUUCCCUGCAGUCUGCCAGCACAGUUCUAGAAGAUGUCGUGCCUUGUGUGCCCCAUUCCCUGAUGCAGGCAGAGCUCUGCAGCCAGAACAGUGCCUCAUAGUGAUGCAGGGUGGCAGAGGGGAUUGGCUGAGGCCUGUACAUGGUGUGGUUGCAACUGCACAGGGAGGCUUUAGGCAUGAAGGAGUGCACAGGGUAACCACAGAUCAGGUCUGCAUGGUGCGUAUGUUCGUCAGAGGGCUGCCUCUUUGUCAAAACUUUUUUGGACAGAGGAAGGUAAAGUGGUGCUAAAUGUUCUGACCAUUUGUUUAAAAGCAUUUUGAAUUGCAGGGCUCAAGCGUUCUGGUAGAAUAUUUUUCAGUAAAUCUUGAAUAUGGCAGUUACAUUUUCUAUACCAUGUGGGAAAAAGGAUUGCAGUAUUUACUGCAGAGACAGGAAGAUUGAUUCUCACUUGGAAAAUCUGCCAGAUUUCUUGAUUUAGAGAACCGAUGAUUGGUGGAGUUCUUAGACUUGAUUUAUAUCAUGUUUCUUUUUUUCUUUUCCUUGCUUGUUCUUAUGAUAACAUCGACUAGUCUUAUUCUGAAUGAUUUUUUUUGUUUAAUGAAUAUUGUUUUCUUUGGAUACUGAAGUCAAAACUCUGUUCUCUAAUACCUGCUUGUUUGCAGUAAUGUGACUCAAUUUCACUUGCAUGAAGUCUAAACAAAGUUGCUAUGCUUUACAGAGAGACGACCCCCACUUUUCUGUGCUGAAAACAGGCACACUAUUUAAAAAAAACAACAAUCCCUCCCAAGGACAUAACCUGAAACCUUUACAAUCAUGUAAGCAAUCUAAGCUCCUCAGUACAUUUCUUCCAGAGCACUUCAGACCUGCUCCUAAAUUUGCAGAUAAUGUGCCACAAGGGAAGGCAAGUCGCCCCAGCAUGGGCUGGGGUCCCCACGAUGGGCUGCCCUGUGGCUGUGCUGCUCUGUGCCCUGCAGCAGGAGGUCCUAUGCAGGCUGAAAGUGUGUGGCAGCUGUAGUCAGCUCUGUGGGCCGUCAGUCCGGCUCAGGAGCUCCAAGUUUGUCUGGGUGACUUAAAGUGGUGGAAAGUGAGCGCAGAAAUGAAGUCAUUAGAGAUUAAGAAUAUUAAAAGAAUAAUUGAUACCCUGACCUUAUUGCUACAGCAAGCCUCUUAGAUCACCAAAGUAAUACAUGACACUUCUAUAUUAUAGCUGGUUCUGUAUAAUUAAUUAUAUGAGAAACUUCCUUUUUGGCGCCCUGCUUUCUGCCCUUUUGAGCCAGGCUCUCAGUGCCUGUAAAUAGCUUAAGCCGAUGUGAAGCUUUUUCUCCAAAAAUCCUUGCUCACCAGGCUCUUCUGUCUUAUUCUUAUGUCUUCCCUUAUUAAUUAAUGUUAAGAAAAAAGCUUUUAAAGAAGAUUUGUUACUUCCAAAAAUUAAUGUACCAGCUCCUGUUCCUGUUUUCUGGGAGUUUGAGCGAAGUGCCUUACAGUGUCUGAUAAUCUGCUUGAAGAUGGACACGCAACUUUGAAUUGCUAAAAUUGAUCUUCCAGCAUUAGAAAUGCCCAUAAAAAUUCACACUUGUCUUCAUAUUUUGAAGGGGAGUUUUGUUUUGUGUUCUGCUGUUCAAAUAUCAUGUAGCUGAGUAGCAGCAGUCAAAGUGAGAAAUAAAUGAAUGUGCAUAAUUUUGAUCUAAUUACAUUGGUAUUGAAUUGCAGGUGAAGCAUUAAAUUGAUUUGGAAAAAAAAAAUCUUUGCAAGUAUCUAGUAUUGAUGGAAAGGACGUUAUGAAUUUGUAGUGAAGUCUGCUUCUGUGCAGUGGAGUCAGAUGAAGACAAAUGCAGUAGUUGUGCUUCCAGGGUCUGAGUGAAACUGUAUGUCAGCAUAACGCUGAACCACACAGGCAUGAGUUCAGCCUAACUUCAUGUUGCUUUCAGCUAACAAGAAGGCUUUUAGAUUUGUCUCUUAUUAAAUCUUUAGUGCUCUUUUAACAAUAAAUUAAUAUAUAAUUAACACAGACACUUUCUCAAUCCAUAUUAGAGAGCUUACUCGAGACAACUGAAAUUUUAAUUGCAGAUGUUACUGAGGGCCUCUCCCUGCAGCAGUAAUUGCAAUUGCUUACUCACUAAAUGCAUCAGAACUGGAAAGGGUAAAACCCGCUGGGCAUUGGUGUCCAACCUAUUGGUGUGUCUGGGUGCACUGGGAGGAAUUGUCUUGGGCUGCAUAAAUGUAGGUCGCUCCAAAAGUAAUGCCUCCUAUUUAUUCUCAUGGAAGCAACAAUAGCUACAAAGAGCAAAGUAAUACUGUUUGAUGGAGCAAAUUCCUGGCUACAAAACACUAUUUUUCCACGUAAUCACCACUAUAACUUAUGCAUUUCUGCCAGCAGUGAACAAGAGUCUGCAUGCUGCACUUGUAAAAGUCUGUACCAGCAGAAGUGACCACUGUUGCUGUUGUUACUGCUGAAACGUACCAUCUGCAGCCUCAUUGUGCUGACAGCCACUGGUUGGUUCUACAAACAUUCAGUAAGAGCUGAUGUAUGUCAGUGGGUGCAUGGAGGAAUUCAGUUCCACAUCUUUGCUCCAUGUGCACUUCAUGUCAGACGCCACUGUGUCAGACAGCCCCUCUGCUGCCGUCUGUCGCACGGCAACAAAAUGUAACGGGAUAUCGGUGGGAAGGUUCAGCUCUGCUUCCAUCACACUGACAUCCACCUCUGAUGUCAUGGGCCAACAUCAUAAAUUAGGAGGCAUUAUUUUUGGAGCAGCCCUCAGUAAAUAUAUAAUAUAGUUAAUGUGUAUAAGGAAACAAAGCUUGUUUUAAAUUUUAAUGGUUUUGAUUGAAACAUAUACAAAAGAGAGCAAGAAAAACCUAAAACUAGUGGGGUACAUGACCUCGCUUUUGUGAAACAAAUGAAUCGGUCUGCUUGCAAUUGUUAGUGAGCGGGUUGGAUGUGCCGGCCAUCAGCUGCUGCUUGCCUGGCAUCUCUCUCACCCUGAAACCAAACCAGUAGUUCGUACUGAAUCAUUUCCCUUCUGAGUACCAGUUGUGUUACUGAUGUAUCAAGUACUUUGCAUGUGGCUUCCUCAUCUGCAGGAAUGGCUCUGGGUGGGCAGUGCCUGUGGGGCUGGCACCAGGGAGCACCAUAGACAUUCCCAGAAAGCUGUAUUUGCCCUGAGUCCUGGCGGCCACAUCACUCCUCUCCAUUGCUAAUGAGGACAGACUUGCUCCUUUUGCUGGCCUGAGUGGCAGCUCUCACUUUUCCUGAUUUAGUUCUCUACUGGUGUCUCAAUACCAGGGAUCUUGGCGGUGUCUUUGCUCUGAGCGGUUUGCUUUUAACUCUUCUUUGUUGUAUCUAAACCUGCCUCUCUCCAUCUUCAUUACUUUGACAGGAAUGCUGAAUUAGUUGACCUUGUGCUGGCUGGUUGUUUUUUUUUAUAUUAUUUUUUAAUAAAAAAAAGCAAACAAACAAACAGACAAAAAAAAAAAAAAA